RNAcentral lists this ribosomal RNA (327 nucleotides) under uncultured eukaryote. Its description in RNAcentral is "partial 18S ribosomal RNA". It matches the Rfam family "Eukaryotic small subunit ribosomal RNA", at positions 1470 to 1796 of the family's 1831-position model. The record is from RNAcentral.
CCCUUAGAUGUUCUGGGCCGCACACGCGCUACACUGAAGGAGGCAGCGUGUACUCCUGGAUCGAAAGAUUUGGGUAACCCGCGAAUCUCCUUCGUGCUAGGGAUUGAGGUUUGCAAUUAUCCUUCGUGAACGAGGAAUUCCCAGUAAGUGCAAGUCAUAAGCUUGCGCUGACUACGUCCCUGCCCUUUGUACACACCGCCCGUCGCUACUACCGAUUGAAUGAUUUAGUGAGGACUUCGGACUGGGACCGAUGCGGCUUUCGGGCUGCGUCGGUAUUCUGGAAAGAUGUCCAAACUGUAUCAUUUAGAGGAAGUAAAANUCGUANCA